Molecule: long non-coding RNA, 3668 nt
Organism: Panthera uncia (snow leopard)
Lineage: Eukaryota; Metazoa; Chordata; Mammalia; Carnivora; Felidae
Exons: 4
Source: RefSeq, a predicted model, not a curated record
UUGGAAAAGAGUAGAAAAAUGAAGACUUUUUGCAGAAGACAGAAAUACCUAGUUUACCAUGAAGGUGAGGCAUUUAUUUUGUUCCCUAUUUUAGCUCCAGUGGCCAGAGUAACACGUAAGUGUUACUUGUUGGUGGAAGGAAGGCUUGGUGGAAGGAAGGAUUGAUGGAGAGAUAAGGGAUCUCAUGGGAUCCAGUAUUCUAGAGAAACAUCCUGAGAAAGUUGCCUAACAGAUAAUUCAGUGUGGAGGAAGCUAGCAUCCAGGCUAGAACCCCGUGUGGUGAGGAACUGAGACCUCACUCACCAACAGCCAUAUGAGUGAGCAAUCUGGAAGUGGUACCUUCAGCCCCAGUCGGGCCAUCAGAUGAAACUGCAGUGUCUGCCAGUACCCUAACUACAACCUUAUGAGAGUCUCUGAGCCAGCGCCACCCAGUUUCAGGUUUGUAAUAUAGUGACUCAACAAUUCUAUAAAUCACCCAGUGCUUAUCAUGAUAAGUCUCCUCAGGCCAAGGAAACAAAAGCAAAAAUAAACUACUGGGACUACACCAAAAUAAAAAGCUUUUGCACAGUGAAGGAAACCAUCAACAAAAUUAAAAAGUAAGCUACUGAAUGGGAGAUGAUAUUUGCAAAUGAUAUAUCUGAUAAGGAUAUAAAGAACUUAUGAAAAGAACCAAUAAAUAGAUAGUUAACUUCUACAACUAAAAAAAUCCAAUUAAAAAAUGGGCAGGGCUCAUUAUACUUCAAUUUUUAAAAAAUGGGCAGAGGACCUGAAUAGGUAUUUUUCCAAAGAAGAUAUACAGAUGGCCAAUAGACACAUGAAAAGAUGCUCAACAUCAUUAAUCAUCAGGGAAAUGCAAAUCAAAACCAUGAUAUCACCCAAUACCUGUCAGAAUGGCUAGAAUGAGAAAGACAAAAGAUAAGUGUUGGCAAGGGGGUGGAGAAAAGGGAACCCUCUCAUGCACUAUUGGUGGGAAUGUAAAUUGAUGCAGGCACUGUAGAAAAUAGAAUGGAAGCUCCUCAAAAAAGUAAAAAUAGAAAUACCAUAUGCUCCACUAGUUCUACUACUGGGUAUUUACCCAAAGAAAAUAAAACACUAAAUCAAAAAGAUAUAUGCACCCCUGUGUUUACCGUAGCAUUAUUUACAGUAGCCAAGAGAUGGAAGCAACCCAAGUGUCCACCAAUAGAAGAAUGCAUAAAGAAGAUGUGGUAUAUAUAUACAAAGGAAUAUUGUUCAGCAUAAAAACGAAUGAAAUCUUACCAUUUGUAACAACAUGAGUGGAUCUAGAAGGUAUUAUGCUAAGAGAAAUAAAAGAAAGACAAGGACUAUGUAAUUUCACUUACAUGUGGAAUCUGAAAAACAAAACAAAGCAUAGCAGACACAUAAAUACAGAAAACAAAUUGAUGGUUGCCAGAGGGGAGGAGGUUGGGAGGAAGGGCAAAAUGCAUAAGGAAGAGUAAAAGGUACAGGCUUCCAGUUAUGAAAUGAAUAAGUCAUGGGAAGAAAAGGUACAGCAUAGGAGGGGAUAUAGUCAGUGGUGUUGUAAUGGCAUUGCAUGGUAACAGAUGGUAGCUAGACUUGUGUUGAGAAUAGCAUAAGGUAUAGACUUUUGAAUGAUUAUGUUGGACACCUGAAACUAACAUAACCUUGUGUGUCAACUACAUUUUAAUUUAAAAAAAAAAGGAAACAUUAUCUGGGUAUAUCAAGUGGUCAACAUACCAAGUCUGGGCUUUUCUAGAUCUCUGGUUUACCAUUUACCAUAGCCUUUAUUUUUUGGCCGAGGUAUUCAGUUUUGUUAACGCUUGAAUUGCCUGCCAUCAGGGAAACUAAACAUAGCUUAGUAAAUCUACCAAAGCUUUGUGUAUAACAACAUGGAUUAACCACAUGGGUUGCAGGAGACAGACCGCUCGAUUAGACCUUGGCUUUGCUUUUUACUGGAUUUUGAUCUUGAUCAAGUUAUCUGACCUCUGCAUCUGUGUCAUCAUCUGAAAAUGAGGGUAAUAAGUGCCUCCUAUGUUACUAUUGUAAUGAAAUAAUGUGAGUAAAAUGUGAGGUAUGAAUGAAAUGAUGCUUGUUAAGCACUUCACCCAUUCCUGGCAAUACUUAAAGGCUCAGUAAGUAUUAGAUGUUGAUAGUGAUGUUAUGUUGUAGAUUUUCAUCAUUUUAUUAUUAUCAUGGCUGGUUUUAUCAUACGAGGCAAAAAGUUAAUAUAAUGAAUUUAUAAUAAAACAUAGUAUAGUACCUGGAAUACUUGAGUUACCUCUCAAUAGUACUUCACUUAUUGGUUUAAAGAUAAUUUAAAUAUAGAAACCAGUAGUUAGAAAGCUGUCUGAUUAAUAAGGAUAAAAGAUUAGUUUAUGGACAAAUUGAAACAAGUUUUUUUGUUUUGUUUUGUUUUGCUUUUAGCUGGUAUCAACUCAUAUUAAGAGAGUAACUUCUGGUUAUCUCUGCUGAUAGAAUGAUGAUUGGCCACUAAAUUUACUGUUGAUUAAUUCUUUUGAUUGAGGUGAAUUCACAUAACAAAAUUAACCAUUUUAAAGUGUAUAAUUUAUUGGCACUUACUACAUUCAUAAUGUUGUGGAAACACUUCCUCCUAGUAGUUACAAAACAUGUUUUUAUCACCCCAAACAAAAUCUCAUACCCUUUAAGUAGUCACUUCUCACUUCCUGAUCCCGCUAACCCAAGGCAACCACCAAUCUACUUUUUGUCUUUUUGGAUUUAUUUACUUUAGAUAUUUCAUGUAGAUGGAGUCACAUAAUAUGUGAGCUUUUAUGUCUUUCACUUAGCCUAAUAUUUUUGAGGUUCAUCCACACUGUAGCAAUUAUCAGUACUUAAUUCCUUUUUAUGGCUGAGUCAUAUUCUGUUGUGUAUAUAGGCAAUAUUUUGUUUAUCCAUUCAUCUAUUGGUGGCCCUUGAUUACUUUUUACAAGUGUAAAAUUACUUAAUAAAUACAGCCUGGUAGAAAAAUACUUUCAAUAUGGGCUUCCAAAAGGAAAAUGUUAGGAUCAUGAGACAUAAAUGGUACAUUUACCUAGCAACCGUUGACUCUCCAAUGACGAGUACAGAAUGUGACACGUGAAUGAAUUGAAUAAACUUGCAUGAAUGAUGAUGUUGGAAACUGACUUACAGAUGGAAUCAGUGUUCCCCAUUGCACCAACUCAACUGAAAGGCAGAGGGUAAGGGAGCUCACUGCUAGAGUCUAUGCAGGUUAGCCAUAUGGGCACAGGGCACUAUGGAGAAAGGCAAAUCUGGAAGGGCAAACUGAGAAAGCCAACAUAUGGACCAAAAGUCACUCAGGUCAGAAAGGGGCAGGUGACUGCACCUCUCAUCUUAUUCAGGGCCAUAGAAGAAUGAGUGAUGAGUACCAUACACAGAUACCCAUGCUCGUGCUUUCCUCCAUUAAGCCUUACAUCUGGUUCUAAUACAGGGAGUUAAAAAAGUAAUAUAUAGGGACGCCUGGGUGGCUCAGUCGGUUAAGCAGCCGACUUCGGCUCAGGUCAUGAUCUCACGGUCUGUGAGUUCAAGCCCCGCGUCGGGCUCUGUGCUGACAGCUCAGAGCCUGGAGCCUAUUUCAGAUUCUGUGUCUCCCUCUCUCUCUGACCCUCCCCCGUUCAUGCUCUGUCUCUCUCUGUCUCAAAAAUAAAUAAACGUUAAAAAAAAAAUUAAAAAAA